RNAcentral lists this microRNA precursor (70 nucleotides) under Marmota monax (woodchuck). Lineage: Eukaryota; Metazoa; Chordata; Mammalia; Rodentia; Sciuridae. The record is from RNAcentral.
UUUCCCAAGAAGCAAACAGUUUAACAUGUAGAAUGUUUACUACAUGUUAAACUGUUUGCUUCUUGGAACC